CAGCAGCCACGGUAAUACGUAGGGUGCAAGCGUUAAUCGGAAUUACUGGGCGUAAAGCGUGCGCAGGCGGCUUCUUAAGUCGGAUGUGAAAUCCCUGAGCUUAACUUAGGAAUUGCAUUCGAUACUGGGAAGCUAGAGUAUGGGAGAGGAUGGUAGAAUUCCAGUUGUAGCGGUGAAAUGCGUAGAGAUCUGGAGGAAUACCGAUGGCGAAGGCAGCCAUCUGGCCUAAUACUGACGCUGAGGUACGAAAGCAUGGGGAGCAAACAGGAUUAGAUACCCCUGUAGUCCCUGUCUCUUAUAA
Molecule: ribosomal RNA, 301 nt
Filed under: uncultured bacterium
Lineage: Bacteria
Description: partial 16S ribosomal RNA
Rfam family: Bacterial small subunit ribosomal RNA
Source: RNAcentral